AUUGAACGCUGGCGGCAGGCCUAACACAUGCAAGUCGAACGAGUGGCGGACGGGUGAGUAAUGUCUGGGAAACUGCCUGAUGGAGGGGGAUAACUACUGGAAACGGUAGCUAAUACCGCAUACCAUCGGAUGUGCCCAGAUGGGAUUAGCGAGUAGGUGGGGUAAAGGCUCACCUAGGCGACGAUCCCUAGCUUGUCUAAGAGGAUGACCAGCAACACGGGAACUGAGACACGGUCCAGACUCCUACGGGAGGCAGCAGUGGGGAAUAUUGCACAAUGGGCGCAAGCCUGAUGCAGCCAUGCCGCGUGUAUGAAGAAGGCCUUCGGGUUGUAAAGUACGUUCAGCGGGGAGGCGUUACCCGCAGAAGAAGCACCGGCUAACGCCGUGCCAGCCGCCGCGGUAAUAC
This 406-nucleotide ribosomal RNA is filed under the name uncultured bacterium. RNAcentral's name for it is "partial 16S ribosomal RNA". It matches the Rfam family "Bacterial small subunit ribosomal RNA", at positions 30 to 526 of the family's 1533-position model. The record is from RNAcentral.